UCGCUGAUGAAGAGUCCCAAACUAGGACGAAACAGCUGUCCAGUAC
This 46-nucleotide non-coding RNA is filed under the name Trichobilharzia regenti. The record is from RNAcentral. Lineage: Eukaryota; Metazoa; Platyhelminthes; Trematoda; Strigeidida; Schistosomatidae.